Molecule: ribosomal RNA, 234 nt
Filed under: Pseudobutyrivibrio ruminis
Lineage: Bacteria; Bacillati; Bacillota; Clostridia; Lachnospirales; Lachnospiraceae
Description: 16S rRNA. Bacterial SSU
Rfam family: Bacterial small subunit ribosomal RNA
Source: RNAcentral
CUGGCUCAGGAUGAACGCUGGCGGCGUGCUUAACACAUGCAAGUCGAACGAAGCAACUUAUUACGAUCCCUUCGGGGUGACGAUUUGUUGACUGAGUGGCGGACGGGUGAGUAACGCGUGGGUAACCUACCUUGUACAGGGGGACAACAGUUGGAAACGACUGCUAAUACCGCAUAAGCGCACAGCUUCGCAUGAAGCAGUGUGAAAAGUUUUUCGGUACAAGAUGGACCCGCG